UCUCUCUGAAUCUGCGAACGGCUCCGCAAACCAGUUGUAAACAUUGGCUAGUCCAGCACGUAGUCGGGCCUUUCGGGGACCGGCUGCGGGCACAUACAUGGAUAACCCUGGUAAUUCUGAGGCUAAUACAUGACCACAAAACCUUGCUGGCGGCUUCUGGUGCUUUCGGGCGCCGGUUGUUGCCAGCAGGGGGCGUGCAAAAAAGCUUGGGAAUGACGGGAAAGAAUGCACGCUCGGACCACCAUCACAAGGCAUCGCGUGGGGAUAGCGCAGCUUGCUGCGUUAUUCCCUGCUUUGCCGGUGGCUCUAGCAGCGUGCUUCUGACCUAUCAACUAGACGGCAGCGUAUGGGACAUGCCAUGGUGACAACGGGUACAGAGGAUCAGGGUUCGAUCCUGGAGAGUGGGCCUGAGAAAUU
Molecule: ribosomal RNA, 417 nt
Filed under: Comatricha nigra
Lineage: Eukaryota; Evosea; Eumycetozoa; Stemonitida; Stemonitidae
Description: SSU rRNA
Rfam family: Eukaryotic small subunit ribosomal RNA
Source: RNAcentral